UGGUGUAAGACCCAACCAUGUCCAUAUAAGUCUCAGUUUGGCAGAGAGACAAAUACUGAGAGACAGAUACUGAGAGACAAGAAUUAAAAUAAGUCUCAAUAUUAUGUUUGGUAUAAAAUAUCAUUCAAAAUAAAACACAGAGACUAAAAUAAAUGAAAUGACCAAAUUAUCCCUACUAAUUAAAAGAAAAAAAACAAAAAUAAAACCCAAAUCCAAUCCUUCAGACAACCAUUUCCCCUUCCUCCUUUCUCAAUCCCUAAUCUCCCGUCAUUUCACCCAAUUUCGCCGCGUCAAUCUCUUGCUUGGCGUCGAGUUCGCCGUCGACGAGGAAGCCUUGCCACCGUUUCAUCAAUUCCUUCGCUUUUUACGGUUCUCUCCAUCUGUCUCUCUCUUUCUCUCUUGCUCUCUCUCACUUUCUUCUGUUAGUUGUAGGGGCAAUUUGGCUGCUAUUCAUGCUGGAAACAGGGGCUAUCCUCCGAAUAAGGUUGUCUGUACUGAAGGACCCGACAGAGUCAGAGAAUUAAUUGCCAUAGGCGCUUCAUUUGAUCAUAGAGAAGAUGGUAACUUGCAUCUAGUGAGGGAAGGGGGUCAUUCACAUCGUCGAAUUGUUCAUGCUGCUGAUAUGGCUGGAAAAGAAAUUGAAAGGGCUCUGCUAAAGUCAGUUGUUAAUCCUAAUAUUUUUGUGUUUGAACACCAUUUGGCUAUAAAUCUUCUCACUUGUCAGGUACAUUUUGAAUGUCUCAGUGCGUUCUCUAACUAAAAAUAUAAAAUAUGCCACUGGUGUUGUAGAAUGGAUCUGAUAUCACUUGUGUUGGUAUUGACACUCUGAAUACUGAAACAUUAGAGUUUUUAGGUGGUAAGAUUCCUUUCAAAUGUGACUUUGCUUGCAUUAGGUGGAGCUGGACAUAUUUAUCCCAAAACUACAAAUCCUCUGGUGGCUACCGGAGAUGGAAUUGCCAUGGCACACCGAGUUCAAGCUGUGAUUUCAAACAUGGAGUAAGUAGAUGAAGGCAAAAGGAUACAUAACUUAUGCAUCACAAAAUCUCUUGAAGGCAAAAGGAACUACAUAUUAAGUUAUAGUGUUGGGUUUUAAAUUGCAGCAUGAGUAUUUAUGUGUAAUUUGUUUGUAUUUGUAAACAUGUUGUAAAAGCAUGUAUAUGAAUGAAUUAGAUUGACGUUGACAUUAAAUUCUUGAAAUUAGAUUGGCUGUUUUGGGAAA
Arachis stenosperma is the source of this 1219-nucleotide RNA transcript. It is a transcript of the gene named L-aspartate oxidase 2-a, chloroplastic-like, with no coding region annotated. The transcript is spliced from 5 exons. NCBI's taxonomy places the organism in Eukaryota, Viridiplantae, Streptophyta, Magnoliopsida, Fabales, Fabaceae. The record is from RefSeq and is a predicted model, not a curated record.